UACAGAGGGUGCGAGCGUUGUCCGGAAUCACUGGGCGUAAAGGGCGCGUAGGCGGCUUUUCAAGCGUGCGGUGAAAGCUCGGGGCUUAACUCCGAGUCUGCCGUGCGAACUGGGAGGCUUGAGUCUGGUAGAGGUCGAUGGAAUUCCGGGUGUAGCGGUGGAAUGCGUAGAGAUCCGGAAGAAUACCGGUGGCGAAGGCGGCCUGCUGGGCAGUGGCUGACACUGAGGCGCGACAGCGUGGGGAGCAAACAGG
Molecule: ribosomal RNA, 253 nt
Filed under: uncultured bacterium
Lineage: Bacteria
Description: partial 16S ribosomal RNA
Rfam family: Bacterial small subunit ribosomal RNA
Source: RNAcentral